AGUGAACGCUGGCGGUAGGCCUAACACAUGCAAGUCGAACGGCAGCACAGUAAGAGCUUGCUCUUACGGGUGGCGAGUGGCGGACGGGUGAGGAAUACAUCGGAAUCUACUUUUUCGUGGGGGAUAACGUAGGGAAACUUACGCUAAUACCGCAUACGACCUACGGCUGAAAGCAGGGGAUCUUCGGACCUUGCGCGAUUGAAUGAGCCGAUGUCGGAUUAGCUAGUUGGCGGGGUAAAGGCCCACCAAGGCGACGAUCCGUAGCUGGUCUGAGAGGAUGAUCAGCCACACUGGAACUGAGACACGGUCCAGACUCCUACGGGAGGCAGCAGUGGGGAAUAUUGGACAAUGGGCGCAAGCCUGAUGCAGCCAUACCGCGUGGGUGAAGAAGGCCUUCGGGUUGUAAAGCCCUUUUGUUGGGAAAGAAAAGCAGCAGGUUAAUACCCCGCUGUUCUGACGGUACCCAAAGAAUAAGCACCGGCUAACUUCGUG
This 492-nucleotide ribosomal RNA is filed under the name uncultured bacterium. RNAcentral's name for it is "partial 16S ribosomal RNA". It matches the Rfam family "Bacterial small subunit ribosomal RNA", at positions 29 to 507 of the family's 1533-position model. The record is from RNAcentral.